GAUGAACGCUGGCGGCGUGCCUAAUACAUGCAAGUCGAGCGAACAGACGAGGAGCUUGCUCCUCUGACGUUAGCGGCGGACGGGUGAGUAACACGUGGAUAACCUACCUAUAAGACUGGGAUAACUUCGGGAAACCGGAGCUAAUACCGGAUAAUAUAUUGAACCGCAUGGUUCAAUAGUGAAAGACGGUUUUGCUGUCACUUAUAGAUGGAUCCGCGCCGCAUUAGCUAGUUGGUAAGGUAACGGCUUACCAAGGCAACGAUGCGUAGCCGACCUGAGAGGGGGAUCGGCCACACUGGAACUGAGACACGGUCCAGACUCCUAAGGGAGGGCGCAGUAGGGAAUCUUCCGCAAUGGGCGAAAGCCUGACGGAGCAACGCCGCGUGAGUGAUGAAGGUCUUCGGAUCGUAAAACUCUGUUAUUAGGGAAGAACAAAUGUGUAAGUAACUAUGCACGUCUUGACGGUACCUAAUCAGAAAGCCACGGCUAACUACGUG
RNAcentral lists this ribosomal RNA (497 nucleotides) under uncultured bacterium. Its description in RNAcentral is "partial 16S ribosomal RNA". It matches the Rfam family "Bacterial small subunit ribosomal RNA", at positions 28 to 507 of the family's 1533-position model. The record is from RNAcentral.